AGACUGACCUGGCGGAGGAGACAUCAUGAUUGUAAAGGUGGCUUUCCCAGGACGAGGCUUUCCCCGCACUCCAGAUGCGCUGGCCCUGCGAUUUCCCCAGAUGUGGGAGACGCGGCUGCAUUAC
This 124-nucleotide small nuclear RNA is filed under the name Octodon degus (degu). RNAcentral describes it as "U1 spliceosomal RNA (ENSODEG00000021600.1)". It matches the Rfam family "U1 spliceosomal RNA", at positions 1 to 128 of the family's 166-position model. Rfam says of the family: U1 is a small nuclear RNA (snRNA) component of the spliceosome (involved in pre-mRNA splicing). Its 5' end forms complementary base pairs with the 5' splice junction, thus defining the 5' donor site of an intron. The record is from RNAcentral. Lineage: Eukaryota; Metazoa; Chordata; Mammalia; Rodentia; Octodontidae.